Oryzias melastigma (Indian medaka) is the source of this 801-nucleotide long non-coding RNA. RefSeq lists it as uncharacterized. The transcript has 2 exons. Lineage: Eukaryota; Metazoa; Chordata; Actinopteri; Beloniformes; Adrianichthyidae. The record is from RefSeq and is a predicted model, not a curated record.
UUGGAGCAGAUCCAUCGCCGCCGCCGGCAUUUGUUGGUAUUUUUUCGGCGGAGACAAAACGAUCUACAGGUACUGUGUACAAACGCUUAAAAAACAUCUAGGAGCUCUUUUACAUAUUAGCUUUGGCUAGUUUAAUUGAAAUAUUUAUUUAGCAACACUAUUACAGGUUGUAAAAUACACAAAUACUGAAUUUGUGGGUUUGUGGAUUAUUCAAGUUUUGUUUAUUUCACAAGUUGUUGCAGUAAAUGUAACUUAGUAUAAGUACCUACACUUUUCUGAGAAUAAAAACAUGUACCAAAUAACUACAAUGGGUUUUUAUUAUAUGAAUCAUUCUACAAUAGCGUUAAAUGUUAAUUUUAUCUUCAGACUUUUAUUGCAGAAAUUAAUUAAAUGUUUUUUAUUUGAAAAUAUUUAAACGUAUAUAUUGCAGGUUGUCACAGCUUGUGCCAUCCUCCACAACAUCUGCCUCUGUGCUGACGACACCGAGGCUCCAGAGGAAGAUGUGGAGGUGGUGAUGAGGAGGAACCUGGUUUGGAGACCACCAGCGGUGCUCUCUGGCAGGACCAACUACCUGCUGAGGUUUCUGCCUUGGGGGAGGUACCACCUUGAUUACUGGUAACAGGUCACUGGAAGAAGUGAAUGCUCGACUAAGACUGAGACAAGCUCAGUGAAAGAUCUCCACAUGGCUGCAUCGAUGGCUUCUUUUCAUGUGCAUGUAUGCAUCCCUACGUGCAGUAAAGCGAUAGACCUUCAGCACAAACCCCAAAAGGCACACUCUCGAAUAAAUGUCUUUGAUGCACA